Molecule: long non-coding RNA, 969 nt
Filed under: Homo sapiens (human)
Lineage: Eukaryota; Metazoa; Chordata; Mammalia; Primates; Hominidae
Description: non-protein coding LINC01410:7
Source: RNAcentral
CCCUACCUUGUUUUAACCUGAGUGACUCUCUCCUAGCGGAGAGAGAGCCGGACAGACUCCAUUUUAGUUUCUUCACGUGCAGCCCCCUUUACCUUCCACCCUUAAUUGCAUAACUAGUGUAAACUGACUCAAAGCAGGUCCAGGAAUGCACUUAGUGAUAAGAUAUUGAGGCAAGCUGCACCAGCUGCUCCUGGGUACGCACUCGGUGAAUGUCACGCAAAACCCCUGCAUUUCUCUCUUUGUGAUAGUUUAAGCCCCUGCACCUGGAACUGUUUAUUUGUUUUGUAACUGCUAUUGUAACCAAUUAAUAUUUUAACUAUUUGCCAGCUCUGCUUCUGUAAAACUUGUUUCAGCUAAACUCCCCCCUCCCCUAUUUAGACCACGGUAUAAAAACAAAACCAGCCCCUUCCUCGGGGCCAAGAGAAUUUUGAGCAUUACAUGCCUCUCGGUUACCGGCUAAUAAAGGACUCCUUAAUUUGUCUCAAAGUGUGGCAUUCCUCUAUAACUCGCUUGGUUACAACAGUCCACACUGUGGCCUGAGGUGCAUUGCCCACCUGAGCUUCAUCUGUUAUGUAUGUCAGGGAAUAUAAGCAGGGUGAGAGUGGCCUCAUCAGAGGACCCCAGAUCUCUGGCUUACCCAUCUGGCAAGUGCACCUCUGUGAGCAAAGACUUCAGAGCCAGGUGACAAGAAUGGCCCAAGCAGUCCACCAGGAAAACCUGGGCCCAGUGUACGUCAAUGCAGAGCAUCAAGCAUGGUGUAACAGGUGCACAGUUGCCUACUCCUGUUCAGAGAUGACUGCAUCCCACAUACCGUAAAAUGAGGAAAUGCAUAGAAGCAGAUGUAACUGAAGAAGACAGCAGAAGCAACAAGGAGGGACAACCAGGACCUAGGAGGGCACCAUGCCAGAGACGCCUGGACCCCAUGCUAGGCUCAGUGCCUGUUAUACUCUUGGGAGCCAGCACUUUCCC